RNAcentral lists this unclassified non-coding RNA (75 nucleotides) under Citrobacter rodentium ICC168. The record is from RNAcentral. Lineage: Bacteria; Pseudomonadati; Pseudomonadota; Gammaproteobacteria; Enterobacterales; Enterobacteriaceae.
CGGUACCGGUUCCCGAUCCGGUGCCUAGUCCGCAGCCAAUGCCGGACCCGCCGCCGAAUGAAGAACCGAUUAAAU